UACAGAGGUCCCGAGCGUUGUUCGGAUUCACUGGGCGUAAAGGGUGCGUAGGUGGUCGGGUAAGUCUGAGGUGAAAUCUCCGAGCCCAACUCGGAAACUGCCUUGGAUACUAUUCGGCUAGAGGGUUGGAGGGGGGACUGGAAUUCUCGGUGUAGCAGUGAAAUGCGUAGAUAUCGAGAGGAACACCAGUGGCGAAGGCGAGUCCCUGGACAACUCCUGACACUGAGGCACGAAAGCUAGGGGAGCAAACAGG
RNAcentral lists this ribosomal RNA (253 nucleotides) under uncultured bacterium. RNAcentral's name for it is "partial 16S ribosomal RNA". It matches the Rfam family "Bacterial small subunit ribosomal RNA", at positions 524 to 776 of the family's 1533-position model. The record is from RNAcentral.